Molecule: signal recognition particle RNA, 97 nt
Filed under: Desulfomonile tiedjei
Lineage: Bacteria; Pseudomonadati; Thermodesulfobacteriota; Desulfomonilia; Desulfomonilales; Desulfomonilaceae
Description: signal recognition particle sRNA small type
Rfam family: Bacterial small signal recognition particle RNA
About the family: The signal recognition particle (SRP) is a universally conserved ribonucleoprotein involved in the co-translational targeting of proteins to membranes.
Source: RNAcentral
UGACCGGGAAAGAGCGACCUGGAGUUACUCAACCCGUCAGGUCCGGGAGGAAGCAGCGGAAGUAAUCUCGGGGGUCGGCUUUUACACCCGAUCACCG